RNAcentral lists this transfer RNA (69 nucleotides) under Odocoileus virginianus texanus. It matches the Rfam family "tRNA". Rfam says of the family: Transfer RNA (tRNA) molecules are approximately 80 nucleotides in length. Lineage: Eukaryota; Metazoa; Chordata; Mammalia; Artiodactyla; Cervidae. The record is from Rfam by way of RNAcentral. RNAcentral also lists the same sequence under 5 other names.
CCUGGUGGCUCAGAUGGUAAAGAAUCUGCCUGCAAUGCAGGAGACCUGGGUUCGAUUCCUGGGUCAGGA